GCGGGAAUUCGAUUGUGCCAGCAGCCGCGGUAAUACGUAGGUGGCAAGCGUUGUCCGGGAAUUAUUGGGCGUAAAGGGCUCGCAGGCGGUUUCUUAAGUCUGAUGUGAAAGCCCCCGGCUCAACCGGGGAGGGUCAUUGGAAACUGGGGAACUUGAGUGCAGAAGAGGAGAGUGGAAUUCCACGUGUAGCGGUGAAAUGCGUAGAGAUGUGGAGGAACACCAGUGGCGAAGGCGACUCUCUGGUCUGUAACUGACGCUGAGGAGCGAAAGCGUGGGGAGCGAACAGGAUUAGAUACCCUGGUAGUCCACGCCGUAAACGAUGAGUGCUAAGUGUUAGGGGGUUUCCGCCCCUUAGUGCUGCAGCUAACGCAUUAAGCACUCCGCCUGGGGAGUACGGUCGCAAGACUGAAACUCAAAGGAAUUGACGGGGGCCCGCACAAGCGGUGGAGCAUGUGGUUUAAUUCGAAGCAACGCGAAGAACCUUACCAGGUCUUGACAUCCUCUGACAAUCCUAGAGAUAGGACGUCCCCUUCGGGGGCAGAGUGACAGGUGGUGCAUGGUUGUCGUCAGCUCGUGUCGUGAGAUGUUGGGUUAAGUCCCGCAACGAGCGCAACCCUUGAUCUUAGUUGCCAGCAUUCAGUUGGGCACUCUAAGGUGACUGCCGGUGACAAACCGGAGGAAGGUGGGGAUGACGUCAAAUCAUCAUGCCCCUUAUGACCUGGGCUACACACGUGCUACAAUGGACAGAACAAAGGGCAGCGAAACCGCGAGGUUAAGCCAAUCCCACAAAUCUGUUCUCAGUUCGGAUCGCAGUCUGCAACUCGACUGCGUGAAGCUGGAAUCGCUAGUAAUCGCGGAUCAGCAUGCCGCGGUGAAUACGUUCUCAGGCCUUGUACACACCG
RNAcentral lists this ribosomal RNA (902 nucleotides) under Bacillus subtilis. Its description in RNAcentral is "bacterial SSU rRNA". It matches the Rfam family "Bacterial small subunit ribosomal RNA", at positions 493 to 1392 of the family's 1533-position model. The record is from RNAcentral. Lineage: Bacteria; Bacillati; Bacillota; Bacilli; Caryophanales; Bacillaceae.